UGAUUGACGGGAAUGGAUUGCCUACCACACUUGGUUCUUCAGGCCGAACUCACAUUUUGUGUUUCAUGACGCGGGAGGAGUGAUGCCUGCCACUCUCUCUUCUUUCUUUCCAUUAUUGAUUAUUUUAUUAAUUCCCAUGUAUGCUUCAUGCGAUCAUGGCUCAUCCCCACUGCUAUUAAAAGGUAGAGAGCGGCUCUCCCUUAUCCAUGACAAGCACAUACUCACUUUUCCAUCAAAACCGCCAUUACCCAUCUCUCUCUCUCUCUCUCUCUCUCUCUCUCAAAUUAGAGAACAAAGAAGCCAUUUCCUGUUGAUAUCCUAAAGACAGGGAAAGUUGUAAUAGAUACUCACCAGACAUUGUUAAGGAUUUCUUCUUAGUUUCUUUCCCCAAACCAAUCGGCUUUACAUUUGCAAUCUCUGUUUGUAAAUCUGGAAAAAAUGGUUUCUUUGGUUUCUCGUACGAGAAGACACUUGCAGCUAUAGAGAUGGGCAUCGGCUUGUCGUUGGGUACGGAUUGUUUCUUCCCCUUUGUGGGUUCUUAAUUUCUUGAUUGUAUUUGAAGGGAAUGAGAAAUUUAGAAAUGGGUUUCUUGAGUUUGGCCGAUUCCAGAUUUUUGUAAAUUCUCUCGCCCUAAACUUCCCAUAAGGAUCGCAAUUUUUCCUAAUUUUGGUGGGCAGCUCCAUUUUCUACAGAUGCAUACCUUACAGAUACAAGCUCUGCCUGAAUGAUUCGACUCAGGAUUACUCCAAGGAAUGGGGGUUCGAGAAGCUACUGUUCCGAGACUAGCACAAGAAUCAGGAGAGACAACAAGUACGCAAUUCAGGCUAAGAAUGCUUACGCGAUGGAUGUACAUAUGUCGAAGAAUCUGAUCGGAAAAAUACUUCACAAGACGCAGACAAAGAUUCGAUACUACCAUUACGGUUGAGUACGAACCUUUGGUGUUCUCUCCAUGUAACUCCAAGAAAAGUUAAUUAAGAUAAUUUUGAGGAUUAAAA
Molecule: long non-coding RNA, 995 nt
Organism: Macadamia integrifolia
Lineage: Eukaryota; Viridiplantae; Streptophyta; Magnoliopsida; Proteales; Proteaceae
Exons: 2
Source: RefSeq, a predicted model, not a curated record